CUCAACGCAGCCCAAGGAGACUGGGUCUCCAAACUUCUGAUUCAUUUCAUCAAAGAUUUCUAUUUCAGUCCCAAGAGGGAACGCUGGUCCCCUUCCCCAGAGAGACUAGGGCUGCUCCGCGGUCCCUUUAGCCCACGCCGGGGGUUCACAUACACCCAUCUUUUCCCAGCACAGUCUGUAGCGCACACGCUGCUGUCCUGGCGGGAUGCACUUGCAGCUUCUGCACCAGGCAGCCAGGCUCUGACCGCGUCCCUAAGACCCAAGCCCUGCCGUGCCAGGUUUAGGGCAUUGUAUGACACCGCCGCUGCCCAAGGGCCACCCCGCACCAGCACAGAGCCAGCAGGAUGCCGAGGCAGGCUCGCAGCCCGCAGCCACCCAAGGAGCCCCCCCCGCCCCGCCGCCGUGGGGGUCUCUUACCUCGCCUGGAGCCCCCUCCCGCAGCAGCUCCCGUCCCUCCGCAGUCUCCCCGCUCUCCCUCCCGCGCCACCUCCCCGUGAUGUCAGCGCAGCCGCCCCAGCACGCCGCCCAUCGCACCGCACCGCACCGCUCCUGGCACCAUGCUGCCCUUCGCAACGGUUGCCACAGCAACAGGAGGGGGAAUCCCAUCCUCUGGUCCUCCACCUCCCGGGGGGGCCCGCUCCGUACCGCCCGCUGCAGCCCCCCGGGAGGGCCGGGCACCGCGGAAGGACGGGGCGAGAGCAGGAGGUGCGGUGGGCGAAGGGCAGCGAUGCCAGGAGAAGCCGGCUCUCUGUGCUGAGGGGAGGCAGAGCAGAGAUGGUCACGGGUGGCAGGCUCAGAGAACCAGGGGGUGCCCUUCUCCCCAGCAGUCACCCUUGUUCCCCAGCGCCCUUCUCCCCAGCAGUUACCCUUAUUCCCCUGUGCCAUUCUCCCCGGCAGUCACCCUUGUUCUCCACGCAGAGCUGCACAGCUCCAUCCCAUCCCACCCCAUCCCACACCCUUCCCUGUUCAUGUUUUGUUCCCCAGCCCCAUGCUCUUUCUGUAACAGGGCCGUGCACAGGUCCGUGCUGUGCCACCCCCCACGCAGCCCCUGCCCCAGCAGGAUUUGGGCUACUUGCCCAUAGCAGGCGCCCUUGCAGGGACUCGUCCUCCCCCCCAGGUUGA
This 1122-nucleotide long non-coding RNA is filed under the name Anser brachyrhynchus (Pink-footed goose). Its description in RNAcentral is "lncRNA (ENSABRG00000020267.1)". Lineage: Eukaryota; Metazoa; Chordata; Aves; Anseriformes; Anatidae. The record is from RNAcentral.